AUUGAACGCUGGCGGCAGGCCUAAACACAUGCAAAGUCGAGCGGUAACAUUUCUAGCUUGCUAGAAGAUGACGAGCGGCGGACGGGUGAGUAAUGCUUGGAAAUCUGCCUGGUAGUGGGGACAACAAGUUGGAACGAACUGCUAAUAACCGCAUAACCUCUUCGGAGCAAAGUGGGGGACCCUCGGGCCUCACGCUACCAGAUGAGUCCAAGUGGGAUUAGCUAGUUGGUGAGGUAAGGACUCGCCAAGGCGACGAUCCCUAGUUGGUUUUGAGAGGAUGAUCAGCCACACUGGAACUGAGACACGGUCC
This 310-nucleotide ribosomal RNA is filed under the name uncultured Gammaproteobacteria bacterium. RNAcentral describes it as "bacterial SSU rRNA". It matches the Rfam family "Bacterial small subunit ribosomal RNA", at positions 30 to 332 of the family's 1533-position model. The record is from RNAcentral. Lineage: Bacteria; Pseudomonadati; Pseudomonadota; Gammaproteobacteria.